CCUACGGGGGGCAGCAGUAGGGAAUCUUUCACAAUGGGCGAAAGCCUGAUGGAGCAACGCCGCGUGCAGGAUGAAGGCCUUCGGGUUGUAAACUGCUUUUAUAAGCGAGAAAUAUGAUGGUAACUUAUGAAUAAGGAUCGGCUAACUACGUUCCAGCAGCCGCGGUCAUACGUCGGACCCUAGCAUUAUCAGGGGUGGCUGUGUGUAAAGAGUUGCGUAGGUGGCAUAAUAAGUAGCUAGUGAAAUCUGGUGGCUCAACCAUUCAGACUAUUAGCUAAACUGUUAAGCGCGAGACCGUUAGAGGUAACUGGAAUUUCUAGUGUAGGAGUGAAAUCCGUAGAUAUUAGGAGGAACACCAAUAGCGUAGGCAGGUUGCUGGGACGGUUCUGACACUAAGGCACGAAAGCGUAGGGAGCAAACGGGAUUAGAUACCCCUGUAGUC
RNAcentral lists this ribosomal RNA (442 nucleotides) under uncultured bacterium. Its description in RNAcentral is "partial 16S ribosomal RNA". It matches the Rfam family "Bacterial small subunit ribosomal RNA", at positions 338 to 795 of the family's 1533-position model. The record is from RNAcentral.